AACGUUAACAGAUUUAUAACACUAACCGCAAGAAGAUAGGCUUGGAAUCAGCCACACUAUAAUGAAAGCGUAAAAGCUCACUUGCCGAGUUAUGAGUCCUUACAGAUGUUCGGGAUUACAAAACUGCCGAAGCAAGCAUUUAAAUACAUA
Molecule: ribosomal RNA, 150 nt
Filed under: Chlamydomonas leiostraca
Lineage: Eukaryota; Viridiplantae; Chlorophyta; Chlorophyceae; Chlamydomonadales; Chlamydomonadaceae
Description: large subunit ribosomal RNA
Rfam family: Archaeal large subunit ribosomal RNA (bases 7-118)
Source: RNAcentral